Molecule: long non-coding RNA, 557 nt
Filed under: Erythranthe guttata (spotted monkey flower)
Lineage: Eukaryota; Viridiplantae; Streptophyta; Magnoliopsida; Lamiales; Phrymaceae
Description: long non-coding RNA (EGUT_LNC000144)
Source: RNAcentral
AGGGCUGGAAAAAAAAUACCGAUUACCAUAUACCAUGGUAUACCAACCAAGGAUUACCGAAAAAUUACCGAAACAACGGUUACCAUUGUCUACGGUACGGUAUUAGUACCGUACCAUUACAAUAUGGUACGGUAUUGGUAUUGUGUUUCUAAUACCACGGUAAUACCGUACCGUACCGCAAUUUAUAUUUUAAUCCGAUUAAUAUAUUUUUUUCGAUAUUAUUUUUUGUAAUUCUAUUUUGUUUACUUUGAAGCUUAUAAAUGUCAUCAAUUAUUUUUUCCUUAAGUUAGUGGUAGUGUAGUGUAUUUGUUUUUUUUUUUUUUUUUUUCUACAAAGUUGAAUUUUGUAGUUCAACAUAUAUGUUCUACUAAAUUGUCUUUUAUGUUUCUUAUAGCCAACUAAUUUUUGUUAUAUAUGAUGUAUGAAUAUUUUAUUCUUUUACCUACAUGUAUGUAUAGCAUUAGUAAAGUAUUUAUUGUAUGUAAUAAUUAUUAAGUACAAUCAAGUUCCUAACAAAUACCUAGUUGUUCCAUUAAACAACAUUUACAUUAUCAUGG